RNAcentral lists this transfer RNA (81 nucleotides) under Uromyces viciae-fabae. Its description in RNAcentral is "tRNA-Ser (CGA) (tRNA-Ser-CGA-1-1)". It matches the Rfam family "tRNA". Rfam says of the family: Transfer RNA (tRNA) molecules are approximately 80 nucleotides in length. Their secondary structure includes four short double-helical elements and three loops (D, anti-codon, and T loops). Further hydrogen bonds mediate the characteristic L-shaped molecular structure. tRNAs have two regions of fundamental functional importance: the anti-codon, which is responsible for specific mRNA codon recognition, and the 3' end, to which the tRNAs corresponding amino acid is attached (by aminoacyl-tRNA synthetases). tRNAs cope with the degeneracy of the genetic code in two manners: having more than one tRNA (with a specific anti-codon) for a particular amino acid; and 'wobble' base-pairing, i.e. permitting non-standard base-pairing at the 3rd anti-codon position. RNAcentral also lists the same sequence under 2 other names. Lineage: Eukaryota; Fungi; Basidiomycota; Pucciniomycetes; Pucciniales; Pucciniaceae. The record is from RNAcentral.
GACACUUUGGCCGAGUGGUUAAGGCGAUUGACUCGAAAUCAAUUGGGAUUUCCCGCGCAGGUUCAAAUCCUGCAGGUGUCG